RNAcentral lists this transfer RNA (89 nucleotides) under Sphingomonas sp. KC8. It matches the Rfam family "tRNA". Rfam says of the family: Transfer RNA (tRNA) molecules are approximately 80 nucleotides in length. Their secondary structure includes four short double-helical elements and three loops (D, anti-codon, and T loops). Further hydrogen bonds mediate the characteristic L-shaped molecular structure. tRNAs have two regions of fundamental functional importance: the anti-codon, which is responsible for specific mRNA codon recognition, and the 3' end, to which the tRNAs corresponding amino acid is attached (by aminoacyl-tRNA synthetases). tRNAs cope with the degeneracy of the genetic code in two manners: having more than one tRNA (with a specific anti-codon) for a particular amino acid; and 'wobble' base-pairing, i.e. permitting non-standard base-pairing at the 3rd anti-codon position. The record is from Rfam by way of RNAcentral. Lineage: Bacteria; Pseudomonadati; Pseudomonadota; Alphaproteobacteria; Sphingomonadales; Sphingomonadaceae.
GGAGACGUGGGUGAGUGGCUGAAACCAACGGUUUGCUAAACCGUCGUACCCUGAAUAGGGUACCCCGGGUUCGAAUCCCGGCGUCUCCG